CAGCACCGCGGUAACACCAGCAGCCCAAGUGGUGGUCGCGAUUAUUGGGCCUAAAGCGCUCGUAGCCGGGCCGGUAAGUCCCUUGUGAAAUCGGACGGCCUAACCGUUCGGCGUGCAAGGGAUACUGUCGGUCUUGAGGCCGGGAGACGUCCGAGGUACUCCGGGGGUAGCGGUGAAAUGUUCUGAUCCUCGGGGGACCACCGGUGGCGAAGGCGUUCGACGAGAACGGGCCUGACGGUGAGGGGCGAAGGCUAGGGGAGCAAACGGGAUUAGAUACCCGCGUAGUCCCUGUCUCUUAUAC
RNAcentral lists this ribosomal RNA (301 nucleotides) under uncultured bacterium. Its description in RNAcentral is "partial 16S ribosomal RNA". It matches the Rfam family "Archaeal small subunit ribosomal RNA", at positions 459 to 760 of the family's 1478-position model. The record is from RNAcentral.